UGUGAACUAGCUCAAGGGUAGAGCGCGGGCCUCAUAAGCCCGAGGUUGGAGGUUCGAGUCCUUCGUUCACAGCCA
Molecule: transfer RNA, 75 nt
Filed under: Betaproteobacteria bacterium
Lineage: Bacteria; Pseudomonadati; Pseudomonadota; Betaproteobacteria
Description: tRNA-Met
Rfam family: tRNA
About the family: Transfer RNA (tRNA) molecules are approximately 80 nucleotides in length. Their secondary structure includes four short double-helical elements and three loops (D, anti-codon, and T loops).
Source: RNAcentral